Vicia faba (fava bean) is the source of this 270-nucleotide non-coding RNA. The record is from the annotation of a GenBank genome assembly. NCBI's taxonomy places the organism in Eukaryota, Viridiplantae, Streptophyta, Magnoliopsida, Fabales, Fabaceae.
AUGGAGCGCCGUCUACUCAAGGAUUUUGACCUUCAACCCAAAAAUCCUUUCGUCGAAGCUCUUCGAAUAUGGAGAUCCACCGUCACUCUCAUUAAGAACCACCGUAGGCGGUUUCGCAUGGUUGUCGAUCUUAAAAAACACUUUGAAGCUGAACAGAUUAAGCACGGAAUCAAGAUUUCUUUCUCUUCUCCUUUCCCUAACCUUAUCAGUAAUAGGAAAACAAACUCAUGUUCAAACUUUUAUAUUAUUAUAUUUUCAGAGUUGAAUUAG